CUGAACUCUACCUCUGAAUCUAAUAAUACACUAUAUGUUAAUUAAUUAAAUUUAAAUUUUAAAAAAAGAGAAAAAAAGGAAAGAAAAAGACUCAACUGGGACAAGACAGGGGUCUUUCCCCACCUCCAGAGAGGACCCUGCACUUGGCUAUGCUGCCACCUCUCAGCCCUCUGUCUCCACCCAAGGGAGACCCCUUGGGCCCCUCAAAACCCAGCUAAGAGUACCAGAAAGGAAAGCCACUGCCCACUUCACACUAACCACAAGCGCACAGCUCUGCAUUUAGAACAGGUGACCCAUGGUGACUGGAUGGUGCACACUCUAGAACCAGCCUGUGGGUCCGAAAUACCUCAUCACCCUUUCACAAGGAAGAACCACUUGAGGACAUAAGCAGAUUCCAGAAAGCCAAAGAAUAAAACCCAGCAGUCUUAUCUAAAUUGUGAACAAAAUCAUAAGUAAUGUAAGAGUGGAAAGAAACCAAAUGUUUAAAAAACUUUGUAAGAAAAGCAGCAAAUAUCAUGAGGAACCAUGAAAUGCUUAAAAUAGAGAAGUCAGAAACAGAGAUGUUUACUAUCAUCCCUGGUACUCAGAAUGGUUUUAGUACUAUUAGCCAAUAAAAUCAGAUGAGAAAAUAAAAGUAUUACACAGAAAAAAAGAAACAAAAAAUGAGCUUCCCCCACAGGUGAUAUGAUCUCGGACUUGGAAACCUCAGGACAUCACGCGAAGCCCUGUGAAUCAGAAUCAGGACGGGACCCCAGGAAGUUGGCUGGUUCCGGCCACAGAAUGAAGGAGCAAGCCAAGCUCUUCUCCCAGGACGUUAUGCAGAUCAACCUGGACCAAAUCAGACCUUCUGCAAACACAUCAUGCUCUAGAACUGCUAUGGUGUCAGAAAAUUUCCAUCAUUUGUAAAGAGAAAUACUAUGAUGAACCCCCAGAUGCCGUCAUCUGGUCCAGCCCGGGGUUCCGUGCUCAUCACACUCUUCCCCAGCAGCAAGAGUGUCACAGCACACCUGAGACCUUGGGUCUACUUUAUCUGGAGAUGUUUCCAUAUGCGUCGUAAAAAACAGGGAUCCCUUUGUAUGCAUGCCCAGAACACCAUCAGCACCCUGCAAGGAUUUAGUGCACAUCCUUAGUGUGCAGCCUGUGUUCGCACCUCCUUGGGCACCUCAGUGUUCUCUGGAAGGUCUGUUCUCAUCAGAAACCCAGGUUUCCGGUUGAGUCCCUGAAUGCCAGCGGAGAAACUGAUGUUG
This 1247-nucleotide long non-coding RNA is filed under the name Ailuropoda melanoleuca (giant panda). Its description in RNAcentral is "lncRNA (ENSAMEG00000027568.1)". Lineage: Eukaryota; Metazoa; Chordata; Mammalia; Carnivora; Ursidae. The record is from RNAcentral.